This 390-nucleotide ribosomal RNA is filed under the name uncultured bacterium. Its description in RNAcentral is "bacterial SSU rRNA". It matches the Rfam family "Bacterial small subunit ribosomal RNA", at positions 29 to 420 of the family's 1533-position model. The record is from RNAcentral.
AUUAAACGCUGGCGGCAUGCCUUACACAUGCAAGUCGAACGGCAGCACGGGGGCAACCCUGGUGGCGAGUGGCGAACGGGUGAGUAAAGCAUCGGAACGUGCCCUGGAGUGGGGGAUAACGUAGCGAAAGUUACGCUAAUACCGCAUAUUCUGUGAGCAGGAAAGCAGGGGAUCGCAAGACCUUGCGCUCUGGGAGCGGCCGAUGUCGGAUUAGCUAGUUGGUGGGGUAAAGGCCUACCAAGGCGACGAUCCGUAGCGGGUCUGAGAGGAUGAUCCGCCACACUGGGACUGAGACACGGCCCAGACUCCUACGGGAGGCAGCAGUGGGGAAUUUUGGACAAUGGGCGGAAGCCUGAUCCAGCCAUGCCGCGUGAGUGAAGAAGGCCUCGG